Molecule: ribosomal RNA, 482 nt
Filed under: uncultured bacterium
Lineage: Bacteria
Description: partial 16S ribosomal RNA
Rfam family: Bacterial small subunit ribosomal RNA
Source: RNAcentral
GACGAACGCUGGCGGCGUGCUUAACACAUGCAAGUCGAACGAUGAAGAAGAGAAACGCGAACUUCGGUUCAACUUUCACUUCGGAUUAGUGGCAGACGGGAGAGUAACGCGUGAGCAACCUACCUCUUACAAAGGGAUAGCCUAGGGAAACCGUGAUAAAUACCAUAUGACACAUUCAUAAGGCAUCUUAAGAAUGUUAAAGCUACGGCGGUAAGGGAUGGGCUCGCGUCCCAUUAGCUAGUUGGUGAGGUAACGGCACACCAAGGCGACGAUGGGUAACCGGGCUGUGAGGCUGAACCGUCACACUUGAACUGCGCCACGGUCCAAACUCCUACGGGAUGCAGCAGUGGGUAAUAUAGCACCAUGGAGUGAACUCUGAUGCAGCUACGCCGCGUGAGCGAUGAAGUCAGUCGUUUCGUAAAGCUCUGUUCUAUGGGAAGAAAAGGACUGUACCAUAGGAGAAAGCCCCGGCUAAAUACGUG